UAACGUACAAAAAAGCAUUCCCUCUGGCUAAUGUUUUUUAACGAUUGGGGGAGUUAUGUGGUUUGUGGUGGAGCGCGAUCUAAGGAGGAAAUGUUACACCGGACGCUUCCCUGUCUUUGACCUUUUUAAAGGAAGAGGAAGUUAACUGACAUUACCCAUCACCCCCAAAAGUCUCACUGCUUAGAAGGCUUGUGUUAAGACGAAUAUUUCUAAAGGGCUUUAAUUUGCUCUUCGUAGGCCUGAUGCUUUACAGGGUAGCGGGGCUCCUGGAGGAAACGCUAGUAUUGUGUCUUACCUUAUUUGCUUGAGUGUGGAAUUUUGGAUAGCUUUGAUUGAAAAGUCUUGGUGAUGAGGUGUUUUAGUCAAAAACUAUCUGAGGAAGGUAGAACAUUUUAUUAAUGAAUUCCAUGUAUAGAAAGGUGUUACCUACCGAGGGUAGCAUUUCAUGCACCUCCUCCUUCUCUCAUCCCUUGUAUUUCUGUUAAUCAAUAAUAAUUGGAUGUGUUUUGGGGUUUGAAUCAUGAUGAAUUUGAUUUUUAGAGAUAGUAGGAUGUUUGAGUAAAUAACUCCUC
RNAcentral lists this long non-coding RNA (572 nucleotides) under Marmota monax (woodchuck). Lineage: Eukaryota; Metazoa; Chordata; Mammalia; Rodentia; Sciuridae. The record is from RNAcentral.